RNAcentral lists this ribosomal RNA (685 nucleotides) under Ixodes scapularis (black-legged tick). Its description in RNAcentral is "eukaryotic small subunit ribosomal RNA". It matches the Rfam family "Eukaryotic small subunit ribosomal RNA", at positions 1117 to 1823 of the family's 1831-position model. The record is from RNAcentral. Lineage: Eukaryota; Metazoa; Arthropoda; Arachnida; Ixodida; Ixodidae.
GGGAAAGUAUGGUUGCAAAGCUGAAACUUAAAGGAAUUGACAGAAGGGCACCACCAGGAGUGGAGCCUGGGGCUUAAUUUGACUCAACACGGGAAAACUUACCCGGCCCAGACACUGGGAGAAUUAACAGAUUGAAAACUCUUUCUUGAUUUGGUGGAUGGUGGUGCAUGGCCGUUCUUAGUUGGUGGAGCGAUUUGUCUGGGUAAUUCCGAUAACGAACGAGACUCAAGCCUAUUAAAUAGGUGCGUGGUUCUCUGCACCUUGCACCCUUCUUAGAGGGACAAGCAACUCCUAGCAGCACGAAACAGCAAUAACAGGUCUGUGAUGCCCUUAGAUAUCCGGGGCCGUACGUGCACUACACUGAAGGAAGCAGCGUGUUUUUAUCCCUGUCUGUAAAGACUGGGCAACCCGUGGAACGUCCUUCGUGAUUGGGAUAGGGGCUUGCAAUUGUUUCCCUUUAACGAGAAAUUUCCAGUAAGCGCGAGUCAUAAGCUCGCGUUGAUUACGUUCCUGUCCUUUGUACACACUGCCCAUCGCUACUACCAAUUGAAUGAUUUAGUGAGGUCUUCAGACCGAUACCUGGAGCGUCUUUUCGGUUGCGCCGGUGUGUUGGAAAGAUGACCAAACUCGAUCAUUUAGAGGAAGUAAAAGCCGUAACAAGGUUUCUGUAGGUGAACCUGGGAAG